GGCGGUUCUCAGGUGACGCACCCCAGAAUCAGGCUCCCUCCUCUCUGGUUCCAGGUGUGUCACCGAGAACCACA
This is a non-coding RNA of Myotis brandtii (Brandt's bat), 74 nucleotides long. NCBI's taxonomy places the organism in Eukaryota, Metazoa, Chordata, Mammalia, Chiroptera, Vespertilionidae. The record is from Rfam.